UACCCCGCUGAAAUUUAAGCAUAUCAGUAAGCGGAGGAAAAGAAACUAACCAGGAUUCUCCUAGUAACGGCGAGUGAACGGAGAUUAGCCCAGCGCCGAAGCCUAUCUGCAUUUGUGGACAGGGCAAUGUGGCGUUUAGGCGCAAGCCUGGGGACGCUAUUCUACUCGAAGUCCAGCUCCGAUCAUGGCUUGGAUUUGUCCCAAAGAGGGUGAAAGGCCCGUACGAGUAGAAGUUGUGUAUCUUAGUGUCCCUUAGCUGCUUGUGCCUUGGAGUCGGAUUGCUUGAGAAUGCAGUCCAAAGUGGGUGGUAAACUCCAUCCAAGGCUAAAUACUGGCACGAAUCCGAUAGUAGACAAGUACCGCGAGGGAAAGUUGAAAAGUACUCUGAAGAGAGAGUAAAUAGUACGUGAAACCGCCUGAAUGGAAGCUGGUGGAGUCAAGCUUCUUGUUACGAGAAUUGGCCAGGGGAAAAUAAUUCCCGGGAUAUGGGUGCUACUGUCUUGCAAAUAGACGGGCGGUUCGCCGCCUCUCUUAGGCUGGGCAGCUUAUUUGUGUAUGUACCCUAUUUCCUUUCUCCUAUGCUAUUUCUCGUGACUAAUGUCACAGUCAAUGUGCUUCGUAACACGUGAUAGUUAAACCAUGUUUGGACAGGCCUCGUGUUUGCCCAGCAUGGGAUGGCAGGUUGGUGCUUGGGCCUCGGCUCGUAGUAUCGUAAGAUAAGCUUAUCGCUUGCUGACUGUUUCGUUUAUUGGUUAUCAGGCAUAUUGGUGCUAUGGCGACGGUGUCCUUCGGGUAGCCGUUGCAAGAACUGUGGUAUCGAAGUAGACUUUCCACCAGACCCGUCUUGAA
RNAcentral lists this ribosomal RNA (849 nucleotides) under Thaparocleidus magnicirrus. RNAcentral's name for it is "partial 28S ribosomal RNA". It matches the Rfam family "Eukaryotic large subunit ribosomal RNA", at positions 24 to 658 of the family's 3401-position model. The record is from RNAcentral. Lineage: Eukaryota; Metazoa; Platyhelminthes; Monogenea; Dactylogyridea; Ancylodiscoididae.